CCUACGGGAGGCAGCAGUGGGGAAUAUUGCACAAUGGGGGAAACCCUGAUGCAGCGACGCCGCGUGAGUGAAGAAGUAUUUCGGUAUGUAAAGCUCUAUCAGCAGGGAAGAAAUAGCGACCUUUGGGUCGCCAGACGGUACCUGACUAGAAAGCCCCGGCUAACUACGUGCCAGCAGCCGCGGGAAUACGUAGGGGGCAAGCGUUAUCCGGAUUUACUGGGUGUAAAGGGAGAGUAGACGGCAGCACAAGUCUGAAGUGAAAUGCCGGGGCUUAACCCCGGAACUGCUUUGGAAACUGUGCAGCUAGAGUGCAGGAGAGGUAAGUGGAAGUCGUAGUCUAGCGGUGAAAUGCGUAGAUAUUAGGAAGAACACCAGUGGCGAAGGCGGCUUACUGGACUGUAACUGACGUUGAGGCUCGAAAGCGUGGGGAGCAAACAGGAUUAGAUACCCCAGUAGUC
Molecule: ribosomal RNA, 458 nt
Filed under: uncultured bacterium
Lineage: Bacteria
Description: partial 16S ribosomal RNA
Rfam family: Bacterial small subunit ribosomal RNA
Source: RNAcentral